RNAcentral lists this ribosomal RNA (116 nucleotides) under Castor canadensis (American beaver). The record is from RNAcentral. Lineage: Eukaryota; Metazoa; Chordata; Mammalia; Rodentia; Castoridae.
UUCAUACCGCCCUGAAUGUGCAUGAUCUCGUCUGGUCUCAGAUGCUAAGUAGGGUCAGGCCUGGUGAGUACUUGGAUGGGAGAAAGAUCUUCAGAGGAGACAGUUCAGAGACAAAC